This is a long non-coding RNA of Vespula vulgaris, 4436 nucleotides long. RefSeq lists it as uncharacterized. The record is from RefSeq and is a predicted model, not a curated record. The transcript is spliced from 14 exons. Lineage: Eukaryota; Metazoa; Arthropoda; Insecta; Hymenoptera; Vespidae.
CUCAGCUUCGUGAGACGACAACAAAGUCGAGCGUUCGACCGACUUUAACAAUUAUUGGUUCAGUCUUGCUUCGGAUUUCGAAGAGUACACAUCGUAGUUCUCGUAGUACGCAUUCUCCACGAGUAAUAACAAAGGAAUUAAAUUGUGGAGUGGGGGUACUGAGCUUCGUGAGACGACAACAAAGUCGAGCGUUCGACCGACUUUAACAAUUAUUGGUUCAGUCUUGCUUCGGAUUUCGAAGAGUACACAUCGUAGUUCUCGUAGUACGCAUUCUCCACGAGUAAUAACAAAGGAAUUAAAUUGUGGAGUGGGGGUACUGAGCUUCGUGAGACGACAACAAAGUCGAGCGUUCGACCGACUUUAACAAUUAUUGGUUCAGUCUUGCUUCGGAUUUCGAAGAGUACACAUCGUAGUUCUCGUAGUACGCAUUCUCCACAAGUAAUAACAAAGAGUUAGUAAUUAAAUUGUGGAGUGGGGAUACUGAGCUUCGUGAGACGACAACAAAGUCGAGCGUUCGACCGACUUUAACAAUUAUUGGUUCAGUCUUGCUUCGGAUUUCGAAGAGUACACAUCGUAGUUCUCGUAGUACGCAUUCUCCACAAGUAAUAACAAAGAGUUAGUAAUUAAAUUGUGGAGUGGGGGUACUGAGCUUCGUGAGACGACAACAAAGUCGAGCGUUCGACCGACUUUAACAAUUAUUGGUUCAGUCUUGCUUCGGAUUUCGAAGAGUACACAUCGUAGUUCUCGUAGUACGCAUUCUCCACAAGUAAUAACAAAGAGUUAGUAAUUAAAUUGUGGAGUGGGGGUACUGAGCUUCGUGAGACGACAACAAAGUCGAGCGUUCGACCGACUUUAACAAUUAUUGGUUCAGUCUUGCUUCGGAUUUCGAAGAGUACACAUCGUAGUUCUCGUAGUACGCAUUCUCCACAAGUAAUAACAAAGAGUUAGUAAUUAAAUUGUGGAGUGGGGGUACUGAGCUUCGUGAGACGACAACAAAGUCGAGCGUUCGACCGACUUUAACAAUUAUUGGUUCAGUCUUGCUUCGGAUUUCGAAGAGUACACAUCGUAGUUCUCGUAGUACGCAUUCUCCACAAGUAAUAACAAAGAGUUAGUAAUUAAAUUGUGGAGUGGGGGUACUGAGCUUCGUGAGACGACAACAAAGUCGAGCGUUCGACCGACUUUAACAAUUAUUGGUUCAGUCUUGCUUCGGAUUUCGAAGAGUACACAUCGUAGUUCUCGUAGUACGCAUUCUCCACAAGUAAUAACAAAGAGUUAGUAAUUAAAUUGUGGAGUGGGGGUACUGAGCUUCGUGAGACGACAACAAAGUCGAGCGUUCGACCGACUUUAACAAUUAUUGGUUCAGUCUUGCUUCGGAUUUCGAAGAGUACACAUCGUAGUUCUCGUAGUACGCAUUCUCCACAAGUAAUAACAAAGAGUUAGUAAUUAAAUUGUGGAGUGGGGAUACUGAGCUUCGUGAGACGACAACAAAGUCGAGCGUUCGACCGACUUUAACAAUUAUUGGUUCAGUCUUGCUUCGGAUUUCGAAGAGUACACAUCGUAGUUCUCGUAGUACGCAUUCUCCACAAGUAAUAACAAAGAGUUAGUAAUUAAAUUGUGGAGUGGGGGUACUGAGCUUCGUGAGACGACAACAAAGUCGAGCGUUCGACCGACUUUAACAAUUAUUGGUUCAGUCUUGCUUCGGAUUUCGAAGAGUACACAUCGUAGUUCUCGUAGUACGCAUUCUCCACAAGUAAUAACAAAGAGUUAGUAAUUAAAUUGUGGAGUGGGGGUACUGAGCUUCGUGAGACGACAACAAAGUCGAGCGUUCGACCGACUUUAACAAUUAUUGGUUCAGUCUUGCUUCGGAUUUCAAAGAGUACACAUCGUAGUUCUCGUAGUACGCAUUCUCCACGAGUAAUAACAAAGAGUUAAUAUUCAAAUUGCGAAGUGGGGAUACUCCGUUGCGAGAAAUAACAACAAAGAGGGUCCUUCGACCGACUCUUACAGUUACUAGUUCAGUUGUACUUUGGACUUCGACGAGGAAACUUAGAAAAAUUUCUUGUAUACCAUUCCUGCAAGUAUUAACGAACAGUUAAUAAAAUUUACGUUUUAAUUUCUCAUUCUUACAAUAUUCUAUACAGUUUAUUUGAUUUUAGAUUGAAUUGCGAAGUGGGGAUACUUGCCUGCGAGAGAAGAAAACAAAGACGGUCCUUCGACCGACAUUUAUAGUUCCUAGUUCAUUUGUGCGUUGGACUCCAACCAGUGAACUUCGAAAUUUUAGCGGAUGCCAUUCGUCCAAGUAUUAACGAACAGUUAAUUCAAAUAUAUAACAGCUUAUUUGAUUUUAGACUUAAAUGCGAAGUGGGGAUACUCGGUUUCGAGGGACGACAACAAUGUUGGGUCUUUGGCCGACAUUUAUAGUUCCUAGUUCAGUUGUGCUUUGGACUUCGACAAGGGAACUUAGAAAAAUUUCGUGUAUACCAUUCCUGCAAGUAUUAACGAACAGUUAAUAAAAUUUACAUUUUAAUUUCUCAUUCUUACAAUAUUCUAUGCAGUUUAUUUGAUUUUAGAUUAAAUUGCGAAGUGGGGUUAAUUGCCUGCGAGAGAGGAAAACAAAGACGGUCCUUCGACCGACUCUUACAGUUACUAGUUCAGUUGUGCUUUGGACUUCGUCGAGUGAACUUGGAAAUUUUCUCACUUUCGAGGGACUUUGAAAAUCUAUCUCCACGAGUGGACUUAGAAAUUUUUACACUCACGGAGGACUUUGAAAAUCUGUCUCCACGAGUGGACUUAGAAAUUUUCGCACCUUUGGUGGACUUUAAAAAUCUAUCUCCACGAGUGGACUUAGAAAUUUUUCCACUUUCGAGGGACUUUGAAAAUAUAUAUCUUCACGAGUGGACUUAGAAAUUUUCGUGGAUGUCAUUCGAGCGAUUAUUAACGAAGACUUAAAAACCUCAUUGCAAUCGUGCGCGUAGCAACGAAGUAAUCGAGGAUUUGUAUCGCUAAAAUAAAAAUAUCGCAAAGUAGAAGCAGUGUUUGUUCGUUCGCGUUUCGCGAUUUAAAUCAUAAGUGUUAUUGCAUAGACUGCGUGCAAUGCAGUCUUUAGAGUCAGUGUUUGUUCGCGUAGUUUUUUGAUUUUUUAACAGUCGCACAGACUGUACUUGUAAAAUAUUUUAGAGUUGCGUUAAGUAAAUUCAGUGACCGUUCGUUAAUAAAUAACUACCGCGAAUUAGAGUCAGUGCAUCACUGAAGAGGAUCUCGACCAACUUCGAUGUCGACCUACCUCAUGUUCAACCAACUACAUAUCGUCCACCCUCAAUUUCGACCUAAAUCGCGGUCCAGUGUUUUGGAGCCAUCGCAGAACUUCUUAAGUAGUAAGUUAAUUUUUAAAUCCCUCCGAUCACUCAAUCAUGUCGAGGACGAAAGGUCCGAAUCGGCACGGGUGAUUGGUUGUAAUUAAUUAGUAGAAGAGCAAUGAGUGACCACGAGUAAAUUUCUUCGGAGAUUUACUCGUGAAUGGUUCGUAAUUUUUUGAUUUAUUUAUUAGAUCAGGAUUGGGUCUUCUUGUUUAAACGCAUUAAUUACAAUUAUUUGAAAUUUUAAAUAUUUGAAUGAAUUUUUAAGUAAUUUUCUCUCGCGAAAAUAGUAAAGAAUCGCGAUAUUUUCGAAUUUUAAUAAUAAAUAAGCAAGAAGACAUUCGCGAUGGAUAGUCUCUGGAUUACAAGCGAAAUUGUAUAAUUUCUUUUCUAAUAAUUCGAAUAAUUGCUUGUAAGAAAGAGCGUCCAGUGAUUUUUCAUUAAAUUUUUAAUUAAAGAUUAAUUAGUUUUAUUAAUAAAAGAAAAGUCUCAGUAGAGUCAUUGCUUUUGAAGGAAUAAAGUAGAGUCAUUGCUUUUGAAAGAAUAAAAUAGAGUAGAGUCGUUGAUAAAAGACAAAGAGACUUGUAGAAUCAUAAUGCGUAGAACAUAGAAUAACUUAAUCAAUUUUUAGCAUAGGGUUUUCAGCAAUUAAUAUAUUAAUUCCUGUAUCUCUUUCUGUGCUUUCUCGAUUUUUCGUUUCAGGAUUGCUUUAGAGUUGCGUUAGAUUUAUUAGUUUCCUUCCACGUUUUAGAAUAAUUGAUGGUUUUAGUUUCUUGACAUUGACGAUAGUUCAAAUGAUCUAUAGUAGUUGUUAGGGCUCGAAGCAAAGAAGAGGCUAUAUGCCGAAGAGGCCCCCACAAAUUGUGGCUCAAGAGGGCAACUAUUAGACUAUUGAGUUAUUUUCGAAAGUUUUACAGAACUCUUCGAAAAUGGCUCUUAGUCAUAAUUUAGUUUUACCAUGUUGUCACUCAAAAUGCUCUUAUAGAAUAAUAAUAAUGUAAUUUCCAGAAACUGAAACGACGUGACAUUCCGUCUCCCAUCUCACAUUGCCACGCGUACGCGAAUAAAAUUUUUACGUAC